AAACAGCCUCCAAAGCACACAGUCUGGUCUCACAAUCACAGAACACGUUAGGUCAGAAGGGACCAUAAAGCCCACCCAGUUCCAAACCCUGCUGUGGGCAGGGCUGCCAACCAGGGCCCUGUCCAACCUGACCUUGAGCACCUCAGCCAAGAUAAGCACAGAUAUCCCAGUAUCGACCCUUUAAAGCUCCAGUUCUGCCAAGGAUUCAAACAUCACUGAAUUUCACAGCCAGUUUGGCAUCUCCAUCAGAGCUGGCACCCACCAGGAAUAAAGGCAAUCUCAGCCCCACGCACUGGAAACAUUUCCCACUGCUGACAAUAGAGAAGCAAGGAGCGGACUCUCUACAUGAUUCUCCAUCCUUGCAGGCUUCUGAGAAUACACUAGAAGCCUGCUCAGGUUAUGCUGUCCUUCAGUUCUGAAAGGCUCAACGGAGUGGGCAGCAGCACAGCAUGCACCUGGGGGGCAACAAAGAAAUCAUUACUCUGUGGGGAUGGGAAGCAAGAAGAAAUCCUACUGAAAUAGUGUAUACAGGAGCAAGAGGAGGCAAAGACAAGAGAGGCUCAGGAGAGUAUGGUAAAACAGCACAAAGCAAAUGAUUCUCCACUACGAACAGCACGAAUACAGAAACCAUGCAACAGAUGCAGCAAGCUGAACAUAAAAUCGAGUGUCGCAGACCCGCAGUGAGACUGUGCAGGGUGCAGCGUGCAGGCAGUGCCCACAGCUAUGGUCAGCCCCUGGAGAACCAGAACUGCUCUGCUUUCCAGCUGAGAAGAGCUCCUCUGUGGCAAGGCAAGGGGUGAGUUACAGCCAGGCACUUGCAGUGCCGUGGAAAUGAGGGCUGUUUUCCUUUCUGCUAAUCUGUGUUAUUAUGUCCUCCUUUGGAUUCCCCUGCUGGUGGUCAAUGCUGGUUAAAGACAUGGCUGUUAUCCAAGGCCUGCACUCACGUGCUUCAUGUACGAAAUGCUGACAGGAAAAAAAAAAGCAAACUUUCCAUUCCUUCAUUGGGCGGUUCUGCUGCUGCUGAACACAAAAGGCACCAUUUCAUUUCCUUCGUGCAGCCCUUAUUUGUUCAGAAACGACUUUCCUUUUCCAGAGGAACGACCUGACCUGACCUCUCGUGGGUGCCACAAGUCGCUACCAGUGGGAGUUUCAGAGCCUCAGGGCUGGGACUUUUACUUGCAAUUUAUUUAUUUAUUUAUUUAUUAAAGGAUUUCACAUGAAAAGCCCCCACACAAAGUCUGGAUCUGUUGAUUGUUAUGGCCCACUGAAAAUAAACCAUACAAUCAUAGAAUGGCCUGGGUUGAAAAGGACCACAGUGAUCAUUGAGUUUCAACCCCUCUGCUAUGUGCAGGGUCGCCAACCACCAGACCAGGGCUGCCCAGAGCCACAUCCAGCCUGGCCUUGAAUGCCUCCAGGGAUGGGGCAUCCACAGCCUCCUUGGGCAACCUGUUCCAGUGCGUCACCACCCUCUGGGGGAAAAGCUUCCUCCUAAUAUCUAACCUAAACCUCUCCUGUCUCAGGGGAGAACUCUCUGUUCCUGUAAGAACUAUAACAGCUGGUAGCUAUGCAGACCACCCAUGCUUAUUCAUUCGUAGCCUCUCUUUUGCUUUA
Gallus gallus (chicken) is the source of this 1611-nucleotide long non-coding RNA. RefSeq lists it as uncharacterized. NCBI's taxonomy places the organism in Eukaryota, Metazoa, Chordata, Aves, Galliformes, Phasianidae. The record is from RefSeq and is a predicted model, not a curated record. The transcript is spliced from 4 exons.